Molecule: long non-coding RNA, 1535 nt
Organism: Mauremys reevesii (Reeves's turtle)
Lineage: Eukaryota; Metazoa; Chordata; Testudines; Geoemydidae
Exons: 7
Source: RefSeq, a predicted model, not a curated record
GCGGUGGGUCACAAGGCACGAUGGGGAUUUGAAGGCUAGAAGGGCCCUGUUUCCAGCCCCGCCCCUCUGCCAGGCCGUUGGCUCUGCUGCUUCGCCCGUUAUCCAGUCCCAACCGCCGGGCCUGUAGGACAAUGUAGGAGCCAUGGAAUCCUAUCAUACCAGCUUGUGGCCAUCACCUUGGAUUCUGUCAGUUCUCCCCAUCAUCUGUUGGAGUGGAUGAAGGUCUGUAGCAAUUCAGCAACCUGGACAAGGACUGGCCCAAGGUUCUUUUGAAGGGAAAAUUAUCUCUGGCAUAAAGAAGGCACAGACAAGUGAAGGAAAUGGCUAUCAAGUUCCUGGUCAUGUACGAGGAGAGAUACUGUGGUUUCUGCUCAUAAGUGGUGCCAGAGAGAGUGUGGCAAAAAUUCAGCAAAGCAACCUGGCAGUAACAAGAUACCACCACAAAAUGUAAUCCUGAAUGUAAUUCACCUAUCUAUACAUCUCCAUUUUUCAUGCCGGACAAUGACUAUAGUGGGACCACAAAGCAAAACAAUGUAUUUUCACCGACACACCAUGAGAACUAAUGAUACAGUGAAGCCUUCCCUAAUUCACACUAACAACUAAGAGACCCAUCGUGAGUAACUGAGAUUUGUGAAUUAGCCAGGGGAUAUGCACAAAGCAAAGAUGCCGCCUUACAAAAGUCUGAAGAGCUAGUAUUAAGAAGCACGAGGUUAUUGUCUCCACGUGUUACAAAGUCUGAUCAUCUUUUCUAUAACCAGUAGGGGAAUGUGUUUGUUAAGAUCAUUUAUGAAUAAGUUGAAUAGGAUGGUCCUAGGACUGACCCUUGGAUUCGGCCCUCUCCUAUUUGCAGAAGCAGUGGGAUAAGCUGGCUUCUUAAUGCUCAAGAAAGUGAUGGAAAAGAAGCUUCUCAACUGUGCCAACCUGCACUGUGUGAUCCCCAGUGGGGCAUGGCCUUGGAGUUAAUUCACCACAAGGAAUCCUUCCCUACCUGGUAGAAUUCUUUCUGCAGAGGAUAAGCUGGGUGGCAGCUGUGUUCGUCUUUACUGUGCCAGCCAGGUCAGGCUUUGUUCUAAGGCAUUAAAUGAUGAAAGAUAAAAAUCUCAAAUGUUAAUCCAAGUUCAGGAAGAAAAAUACCCAGAGGUUGAUCCUGUGUGUUACUGAACGUCCCAUCAGAUGGUAGGUGAUGAUCAGACAGAAGAAGCCACGAACUAUUGUUUCAUGAUGUUCUAUACUGUAAUUGCAGGGCAUUGCCUACUUCUAUGGGACAUUUGGGACAGCCCUUUCCCUCUAUCUGAGUAACCACCCUGGCAGCGUCUUUACAAGUGAGGCUUUCUUAGAAAGAUCGUUGGGCCUAGUCCGCAGACUGGCAGAGAGAGUGAUAGCCAGGACAUCUCAGCUGUCCCCAACCUAGCGAUUAAGUUUGUCAUCUCAGGCAUAGCUUUUCUCACUCAGCAAGGGGGGUUAAGAAUCCCAUGGCCUCUCAGAGACAGGGUCUGCACAGAGCCACUCAGAACUCUGCUGAUGUGUUACAGAAU